CGGUCCAGACUCCUACGGGAGGCAGCAGUGGGGAAUAUUGCACAAUGGGCGAAAGCCUGAUGCAGCGACGCCGCGUGAGGGAUGACGGCCUUCGGGUUGUAAACCUCUUUCAGUAAGGGAGAAGCGAAAGUGACGGUACCUGCAGAAGAAGCGCCGGCUAACUACGUGCCAGCAGCCGCGGUAA
RNAcentral lists this ribosomal RNA (184 nucleotides) under Arthrobacter pascens. RNAcentral's name for it is "partial 16S ribosomal RNA". It matches the Rfam family "Bacterial small subunit ribosomal RNA", at positions 327 to 523 of the family's 1533-position model. The record is from RNAcentral. Lineage: Bacteria; Bacillati; Actinomycetota; Actinomycetes; Micrococcales; Micrococcaceae.